This 1032-nucleotide long non-coding RNA is filed under the name Anser cygnoides (Swan goose). RNAcentral's name for it is "lncRNA (ENSACDG00005017165.1)". Lineage: Eukaryota; Metazoa; Chordata; Aves; Anseriformes; Anatidae. The record is from RNAcentral.
GGCUGCAGCCGGUGCCCCCCCGGGGGCGGCCCCCUGGGAGGCAGGGGAGCGGGCGGGGAGCGGGCGGCCCGUCGGGCACGGCACGGCGAGGCACGGAGCGCGGGGCCCCCGGGCGGAGCUGCCCGGGUUGGGGCCGUGGCAGGCGUUGUUUUCCUCGGAGAGCAGAGGAGGAGGAGGAGGAGGAGGAGGAAAUCUCCGGGUUUUUAAUGAGGGGGUGCAGCGGGGCUGAGCGCUGGGAUUACACGGCGCGGAGCCGGAGCUGCGGGCUGUGUGUGUGCGCGCAGGGCUGGCCGUCCCCGCCUGUCUGCCUGCUAAUCGCACGUUUUCCGCUGUUAAAAAGAAACCGAGACGCUGUGGCCGAGCCCAGCGCUGUCUCUGUGACUGUGACAUGAAAAGAUGGCGCUCUCUCCCCUCCCCCAGCCUCCCUCUCGGCUUACACUUCCUCCCCAACAGCUUUUGCCUUCCAGUUUUUUAAAGCCCUCUUUUCUCCUUUCCUUCCCCCCCCCCACCUCCUCCGGCCGGAUACCGCGAGCUUCCCAGCCGAUCGCAACGAGAGACCGAGAGGAAACACGCUGCUGCUGUGCAAAAUGUGGACCAUGUGUGGGAACUAUUUACUCAGAGUGCAACUGCAGGCACCAGGCGAGGGGCUGGCAGAGCCGGGGGGCGGCGGAGAGAGAGGCUACAUCUCUCUCGCCUUUUUUCCUCUCCCCUAAAGCCAAACCACGUCGCUGCGUCUGUAACGGUGCGUUUUACCGACUUUCUCGCUGGGCACAUGUUUUUUUUAUAAGUCCAAGGCUUUUGCGAUUCGCUUUUGUGUUUGCCCACCUCAAGCCUCUGCGGGCAAAGGGUUAAAUCUUCGGAGCAGUGGAAGGAAGCAGCUGAGUUUCAACAACAACAAAAAAAAAAAAGGUGGGGGGAGAAGAAAGGAGCGGGAGCAGGGAAGAAGCGAGGCGAGAGGGCUGCACGGUCCCCUGAUUGUCCCUUUGGCUGCUGUAGAAUAAUAAAAAUAAUUAAUAACAAUAGUAACCCCCA